RNAcentral lists this long non-coding RNA (2146 nucleotides) under Olea europaea (common olive). RNAcentral describes it as "long non-coding RNA (OEUR_LNC001279)". Lineage: Eukaryota; Viridiplantae; Streptophyta; Magnoliopsida; Lamiales; Oleaceae. The record is from RNAcentral.
UCCAGGACGUUAGGAACAGAGAUAAUCUCGGAGAAAGCGAAGAGGGAGGGGUGGGAAGUUGCCUCAACGACGAGGUUUCUGAGGGAGGAGCCCUUGAGAUUGGACGCCUGCUUCACAAAGUAAUCUAUGUGCUCCGCUUGCUUUUGCUCGAUAUCCAUCUCUCAGAUUUCGAUUUCUAAUAAUCUGCCCCCAAAAAACUUACAGAAUUUUUAUGCAUAAAAGUGCGCGUAUAUGUACAAUAUACCUGUAUAAAUCUUGAAGGGAUUGGAAUCGGUGAAAAUAUAAUCUCCGAUUUUGAAAGAUAAGAUUUAGGGUUUAGAAAUACUGAAGUCGAUUUCGAGUCUCUUUUCUUGGUAGAGACACGGGACUUCUGGCUUCAGUGUGUGUGUGUGUGUGUGUUUCAAUACCGGUAAUUUUUGCUAUUUUGAGACGAAGGUUUCUUGAACCCGAAGCUAGAAUUUUCUGGUCUGUUUAAAAUUUAUUUUACGGAUAAUUACAGUUACGGUUCCAAACCUACUUUACCCUAUCAAUUUUGUAAAGUUUAAUUUACAAUUCGAAACAUAAAAUAGAUAGACUGAGUAGCAAAUAAUAAAUUAACAAGCAAUACAAACAGAUAACAAUAUCACUCGCACUAGCCCACAACUAGAACUAAAAGUCAAAAACAAAUGAAAUAAGAGGCUAUUUGAGAAUUUUGCUAGCAUCAACUUUAAAGAAAGAUAACAGCUGGAAACAGAAUAAAGCAAAGGGGCAAGGCAAGAAAAGCCAUCCAAAAAGCUAAGCUAGAUAAAAAACAACCUUGCUCUGUCUCAAUUGAGCAAGGAGUCACCUCAAGGCACUUUGAAGCAUAAACCAUGACUUAAACCAAUAAAAUAAUUUAAAAAAUUAUAUAACAGAAUUUUGGUCAUGGUAAACCAUAAAGAAAAUCCAUAAUAAAACCUCUCAAUUUUGUAAAGUUUAAUUUACAAUUCGAAACAUAAAAUAGAUAGACUGAGUAGCAAAUAAUAAAUUAACAAAGCAAUACAAACGGAUAACAAUAUCACUCACACUAGCCCACAACUAGAACUAAAAGUCGAAAACAAAUGAAAUAAGAGGCUAUUUGAGAAUUUUGCUAGCUUCAACUUUAAAGAAAGAUAACAGCUGGAAACAGAAUAAAGCAAAGGGGCAAGGCAAGAAAAGCCAUCCAAAAAGCUAAGCUAGAUAAAAAACAACCUAAAAACACAAGACCAGGAAGUGCAACCCUCAGGUGCCUUAAGGCUUAUGGCUUGUGAUGUGGGCCUCGACAAGUUAUGGUAUAAGCCUUGACAAAGGAAACUCGAGUAAUCUUUCAGGUUCCUAAUGACUUUCUCACACAAAGCACGCCACAAGGCGUAAAAUUGCUUUCAAAGAAUAUUAUUUAAGAAUCAGAACAAGACCCAUCCUAUCAAGAAAAAGGCAGAUCUUUCUCGACAAGCUCCAUUUUAAUGGUUAUGUAUAAUAUGGGACAAGGUCAAUAACCAUUAAGGCAUUAACAAAUGGACUAAUAGGCAACAAUUCAUCCAAUACCAAGCAUAUUACUCCAAGGCAAGACACUAUUUGUUAAUCGUAUAAAAAGGGUAGCAAGAAUGGUAUACCCAGUUCAUCUUCCCCCUUCUAACCACACUGAUAUAGUUAAAAAUCUGAAGUCGUGUCCAAAUAUUAAUAAACAAGCUGUUAUAUACAUAUGUCAAGUAAAAGUAAACAAAAACUAUCAGAAAACUAAAUGAUGGAGAACUUGCUUGCUAAAAUCAUUCCACGUAAAACACCCACAAAAAGCUAUAUAUUCAACUAAAUCAACGGAAGAUGCUUAAACUGAUCUUUUCCACCAAAAAAUUUAAAAAAAAAAAAAUCAAAACUACCCAUUUUUUUCAAUAUGCAUAUAAAUAAAAUACUAUUGAUAAUACAUACCUCCAGGACGUUAGGAACAGAGAUAAUCUCGGAGAAAGCGAAGAGGGAGGGGUGGGAAGUUGCCUCAACGACGAGGUUUCUGAGGGAGGAGCCCUUGAGAUUGGACGCCUGCUUCACAAAGUAAUCUAUGUGCUCCGCUUGCUUUUGCUCGAUAUCCAUCUCUCAGAUUUCGAUUUCUAAUAAUCUGCCCCCAAAAAACUUACAGAAUUUUUAUGCAUAAAAG